Molecule: unclassified non-coding RNA, 260 nt
Filed under: air metagenome
Description: partial contains small subunit ribosomal RNA, internal transcribed spacer 1, and 5.8S ribosomal RNA
Rfam family: Eukaryotic small subunit ribosomal RNA (bases 1-46)
Source: RNAcentral
AAGUCGUAACAAGGUCUCCGUUGGUGAACCAGCGGAGGGAUCAUUAUAGAGUUUAACAACUCCCAACCCAUGUGAACUUACCUUUGUUGCCUCGGCAGUGGAGGUGGGAAAGCUACCCUGUAACGAGCUACCCUGUAGCGACUUACCCUGUAGCCGUACCGCCGACCUGCCGGUGGACCAUUAAACUCUUGUUAUUUAUUGACAUCUGAGCGUCUUAUUUUAAUAAGUCAAAACUUUCAACAACGGAUCUCUUGGUUCUG